Long non-coding RNA from Capsicum annuum, 3491 nucleotides. RefSeq lists it as uncharacterized. NCBI's taxonomy places the organism in Eukaryota, Viridiplantae, Streptophyta, Magnoliopsida, Solanales, Solanaceae. The transcript has 5 exons. The record is from RefSeq and is a predicted model, not a curated record.
CAUUAGAUCAUUUUGGAAACUGGGGUCCCUUCUCUUGUUUCCUUUUCAUCUUCUCCGACUAGAUGUGUGAGAACUUCAGAGCUUAUCUCCGUAGAUGUAGUUUUCAUGGCGUCCUAAAACCAUUCUCUGUUUCUCCACCACUCAAGCUAAGUUUCAAAACUUAAUCAUCCUUCUUUUCUUUCCUAGCUCGAUGGAUUGAGCUUCUUUAAAAACUAAUACCACCAUCCCUACUAGAAAAUAAAGUUUAAUAGAUAAAGAUUUAAAUACUUUGUUAGUGUAAAAAUGAAAUUGCUAAUCAUUACGGGAUUUAUUGCAGAUCCGAUGCAGCUGGUGUUUGAGUAUUCAACCCGUUACAACCAAAAUUCUCACUGGCUGCAAGUAUCCCACUCAAAAGAAAAUCACUUCCAACCCCAUGUUCAAAAAGUGAAGCUUCUCCAUCCAUUUGCAGACAACUUCCAGAUUCAAGGUGUGAUAGCCGAUCCAUUCUCCUUUCUUUCGGAUAGCAGAUUGGGCAAAACAACUAAAGAAAAAAUCUAUUCAAUUAGCAAAAAAUGAGAGAGGGAUUCGAACCUUCGAUAGUUCUUUGUUCAAAACUAUACCGGUUUUCAAGAUCGGGGCUAUCAACUACUCAGCCAUCUCUCCGAAAGACUAUUUUUAUUUUAUUCCUCCAAAUAGAACAUGGCUAUAGGGGUGGAUACCCCCACUAUCUGCAGAAAGAUCUCAGGUGAUAGAUGAACGUUGGUCGGCUUCAAGAAUUUUUUUUUAGGUAAAGAUUAGGUUUAAUUAUAUUGUUUUAAUAUUUCUAUUAGUGUAUUAUUUUGUGUUAGUUUACAAGUUGUAGAUGAAUGUCGAUCAGCUUUGAGGAAAUUUUGGGUGUAAAAGUUAGAUUUAAUUGUAUUGCUUUGAUGUUUCUUUUAUUGUAUUGUUUUGUAAUAAUUUAUAGGUGGUAGAUAAAUGUUGGUCGGCUUUGAGAAAUUUUUGAGGUGGUAGAUGUAUGUCGUUUGACUUUGAGGAAUAUUUUUUUAAGGUUAGAUUUAAUUAUAUUAUUUUGAUGUUUCUAUUAUCGUAUUAUUUUGUUGUAGUUUACAGCUGACAGAUGAAUGUCAAGAGAAUUUUUUUUGGUGAAUGUUAGGUUUAAUUAAAUAAAUUCUCUACCUUUAUAUAUUCAAAAGAUGUUGAAUUGAAUUAUUGUAUUCAUUUUUAUUAUUUAAACAAAUGUCAUAUUUAAUGUAAUGUUUGAACUGAUUAAAUUAAGGUACACGCACAAGACAUGCGUACCUAAACUAGUAAUAUUUAUAAGUGGGAAUUAUUUUUAAGUAUAAAAUUUAAAUUACCACAAUAUCAAUCAAAUAUAGGACUACUUUACCCAUUAUCAUUAAAACAAUAACCUCUUAUUAAAUGUUAAAUUAUUGCUGUAAUGAACAUAAUUUAUUGGUUUGCUGUGUUUCAACAUCAAUUUGCUAUUAUUCAAUGAGUUUAAAUGUUGACAUUUAAUUUUUCUUAUUUAUUCCAUCUAAAGCCUAUCAUUUUCUGCUACUUAAUGGCUUUUUAUAUACACUGUAUAUAAACCCCGAUGUCGAGUUUAAAAUUAUCGGAUCAUGAGGGUAGCUACUCUAAUUUAUCUAGAUAGGAGAAUUUCUUACCACCCGUUCAAAAUUACAUGCAGAAAUCUUCGUUAAUUAGAAGUUACUAACCAAUAUUACAUAAUUAAGGAAAUAGUACGAAAAUAAACUAUUCUGGGAUCUAGUCUAAACAGAUACAAGAGCUGCUAAGAGAAAAGUACAUGCGACACAACUUUCACCAAGAGUGAGAAAGUGGGAGUUGCUAGAGGAUCACUAUCGAAAUAGCCAAAAAACCAUCACUGAUUCUUGCAAAAGACUAUACCUCGAAGAAGGUAUAUACCAAGCGUAGCAUCAGUACAAACGACAAGUAUUGGUAAGUUUCAUCGGGUGACCCGAGUCGAAUUACACAAAUAUAGCACAAAUACUCAAGGAAUCAUGCAUGCUCUUAAACUCAUUAUCCCACUCCCAAAGGUUCCCUUCCACCUUUCACUAAUCUCUAUUUGUAAAUCUUGAGGCACAACUCUAUCCCUCUUCCAAAACCAUAUCACCCCAAACGACCAAGCCUGGCAUCACAACAAAUACAAUAAGGGAAAAUCCCUAGAUCUAGGUCAAGAACCUAAUAAUUUACUUAUCAUACUCGGGGAAGGCCCGCUUAGGCAUAUAACUUGCCCAUUCGGAUUCACCCCAUAACUAUAUACAUUCGCCUCUUAUCACACUAACGUAGAACUCUCCAAUAUGAUCCAACGUCAUGUGGACUUCCACCAACCAAGGUAACCUAACAAGUCAGCCCUAAUAAGAAUUAAGGAUUAUGUUGCAAGUGGUUGACACUUAACUAAACUAUAAUGCCCCAAGUUAUCACAUACUCGAGUCAACAUACACUCAGCAUAAAAGCGACAAAAAACGGUUAGGAUUAGAAUCAAAAGUCAAUGAAAUAUCAUCAAGUCAUGGUCAAUCAAGCCAAGUUAGCAUAUAUAAGUAAUUAUAUAAUUAAAUCACAACCAAUUCAACAACCCAAUUCCAACCAUAUCCAACAUAUAACUAGUAUCCGGAUCACAUACAUUUCUAAAUAUGUACACAUAUAUCAAGCUUAUAAGAAUAGUAUCUAGUUCACUUAUGGAACUGUUAAACUCAUCUGACCCUCAUGCAUACAUGCUAUGGGUGAUACAUCCACCCUCUAGACACAACCUACAGGGGUCAAUUACUGUCGUUGUACAAAAUUUCAGACAUGAGUGUUUGCCAACCUUAUUUCAUCAAAAACCCGUGAGAACAUUCUAAUUAUUGAAAAUUUCAUAUUUAAUAAUGAAAUAAGUCAAGUCAUAUAAAACCAUAUACAUUGACCAACCAAAUAACAUGAGCUAAAAAAUCACACUACAAAGUAGUUAACACGUACAUAUGACACAAUUUAGACUAAAAGACAAUACCGUCACCAACACUACUGGUAGGGCCUUAACAACAACGUAUCCACAAUGCCAAGCUUUGAAGAUCAUAACCAAGAUUACUACCCUAGAUUGUUCGAAAACUUUUCUACACCAUAAAGUUUAACUAAAUACCCAAUAAUCUGUCCUUCCCACUACAACGCAUAUGAGUCCACGACAGGAAAUCACCAAUUAAUGGCAUACAUAAAACAUUACAUGAAUAAUUAUAUAAACAUCCCAUAAUAAUAUAGUGCCAAAAUUUCUAAUUGAUUUUACCUAUCCUAACUUCGUGCCUGAAGACCCAUACAUGAAAUCUCUAUUCCAUCUAUGUUACAUUCAUUAUUUCUAACUUGGGUCUAUGCAAUUUCAUUAACCUUAGUGAUAACAUUCAACUCACUCCCAUAAUUAAGGGGUGAGAUGUUCGUUGUCAAGUAACCCAAAUUGAAUUAGGGUCGAAUCUUAAAGAGUGAAUUAUAGACUUUAAACCCUAUGGAUGCUCAAAUUACUAUAAAAU